Molecule: ribosomal RNA, 1482 nt
Filed under: metagenome
Description: bacterial SSU rRNA
Rfam family: Bacterial small subunit ribosomal RNA
Source: RNAcentral
AGAGUUUGAUCCUGGCUCAGGAUGAACGCUGGCGGCGUGCCUAAUACAUGCAAGUCGAACGCUUCACUUCGGUGAAGAGUGGCGAACGGGUGAGUAAUACAUAAGUACCUGGCAUCUACAGGGGGAUAACUGAUGGAAACGUCAGCUAAGACCGCAUAGGUGUAGAGAUCGCAUGAACUCUAUAUGAAAAGUGCUACGGGACUGGUAGAUGAUGGACUUAUGGCGCAUUAGCUUGUUGGUAGGGUAACGGCCUACCAAGGCGACGAUGCGUAGCCGACCUGGGAGGGUGACCGGCCACACUGGGACUGGGACACGGCCCAGACUCCUACGGGAGGCAGCAGUAGGGAAUUUUCGGCAAUGGGGGAAACCCUGACCGAGCAACGCCGCGUGAAGGAAGAAGUAAUUCGUUAUGUAAACUUCUGUCAUAGAGGAAGAACGGUGGACAUAGGGAAUGAUAUCCAAGUGACGGUACUCUAUAAGAAAGCCACGGCUAACUACGUGCCAGCAGCCGCGGUAAUACGUAGGUGGCGAGCGUUAUCCGGAAUUAUUGGGCGUAAAGAGGGAGCAGGCGGCACUAAGGGUCUGUGGUGAAAGAUCGAAGCUUAACUUCGGUAAGCCAUGGAAACCGUAGAGCUAGAGUGUGUGAGAGGAUCGUGGAAUUCCAUGUGUAGCGGUGAAAUGCGUAGAUAUUUGGAGGAACACCAGUGGCGAAGGCGACGAUCUGGCGCAUAACUGACGCUCAGUCCCGAAAGCGUGGGGAGCAAAUAGGAUUAGAUACCCUAGUAGUCCACGCCGUAAACGAUGAGUACUAAGUGUUGGGUGUCAAAGCUCAGUGCUGCAGUUAACGCAAUAAGUACUCCGCCUGAGUAGUACGUUCGCAAGAAUGAAACUCAAAGGAAUUGACGGGGGCCCGCACAAGCGGUGGAGCAUGUGGUUUAAUUCGAAGCAACGCGAAGAACCUUACCAGGUCUUGACAUCGAUCUAAAGGCUCCAGAGAUGGAGAGAUAGCUAUAGAGAAGACAGGUGGUGCAUGGUUGUCGUCAGCUCGUGUCGUGAGAUGUUGGGUUAAGUCCCGCAACGAGCGCAACCCCUGUUGCCAGUUGCCAGCAUUAAGUUGGGGACUCUGGCGAGACUGCCGGUGACAAGCCGGAGGAAGGCGGGGAUGACGUCAAAUCAUCAUGCCCCUUAUGACCUGGGCUACACACGUGCUACAAUGGACAGAGCAGAGGGAAGCGAAGCCGCGAGGUGGAGCGAAACCCAUAAAACUGUUCUCAGUUCGGGCUGCAGUCUGCAACUCGACUGCACAAAGAUGGAAUCGCUAGUAAUCGCGAAUCAGCAUGUCGCGGUGAAUACGUUCUCGGGCCUUGUACACACCGCCCGUCACACCAUGAGAGUCGGUAACACCCGAAGCCGGUGGCCUAACCGCAAGGAAGGAGCUGUCUAAGGUGGGACUGAUGAUUGGGGUGAAGUCGAAACAAGGUA